UAACCUGUGGUGUAAUGGCAGCAUUCAAGACUUUGACUCUUGAGGUAAUGGUUCAAAUCCAUUCAGGUUAUCAA
Molecule: transfer RNA, 74 nt
Filed under: Winogradskyella sp.
Lineage: Bacteria; Pseudomonadati; Bacteroidota; Flavobacteriia; Flavobacteriales; Flavobacteriaceae
Description: tRNA-Gln
Rfam family: tRNA
About the family: Transfer RNA (tRNA) molecules are approximately 80 nucleotides in length. Their secondary structure includes four short double-helical elements and three loops (D, anti-codon, and T loops). Further hydrogen bonds mediate the characteristic L-shaped molecular structure. tRNAs have two regions of fundamental functional importance: the anti-codon, which is responsible for specific mRNA codon recognition, and the 3' end, to which the tRNAs corresponding amino acid is attached (by aminoacyl-tRNA synthetases). tRNAs cope with the degeneracy of the genetic code in two manners: having more than one tRNA (with a specific anti-codon) for a particular amino acid; and 'wobble' base-pairing, i.e. permitting non-standard base-pairing at the 3rd anti-codon position.
Source: RNAcentral